UGUGGCCUUUAACUAGGGACAGGCACAGGUUGCUGCCACCUUUAACUAGGGACAGGCACAGGUUGUUGUGGCCUUUAACUAGGGACAGGCACAGGUUGUUGUGGCCUUUAACUAGGGACAGGCACAGGUUGUUGUGGCCUUUAACUAGGGACAGGCACAGGUUGCUGCCACCUUUAACUAGGGACAGGCACAGGUUGUUGUGGCCUUUAACUAGGGACAGGCACAGGUUGUUGUGGCCUUUAACUAGGGACAGGCACAGGUUGUUGUGGCCUUUAACUAGGGACAGGCACAGGUUGUUGUGGCCUUUAACUAGGGACAGGCACAGGUUGUUGUGGCCUUUAACUAGGGACAGGCACAGGUUGCUGCCACCUUUAACUAGGGACAGGCACAGGUUGUUGUGGCCUUUAACUAGGGACAGGCACAGGUUGCUGCCACCUUUAACUAGGGACAGGCACAGGUUGUUGUGGCCUUUAACUAGGGACAGGCACAGGUUGCUGCCACCUUUAACUAGGGACAGGCACAGGUUGUUGUGGCCUUUAACUAGGGACAGGCACAGGUUGCUGCCACCUUUAACUAGGGACAGGCACAGGUUGUUGUGGCCUUUAACUAGGGACAGGCACAGGUUGCUGCCACCUUUAACUAGGGACAGGCACAGGUUGUUGUGGCCUUUAACUAGGGACAGGCACAGGUUGUUGUGGCCUUUAACUAGGGACAGGCACAGGUUGCUGCCGCCUUUAACUAGGGACAGGCACAGGUUGUUGUGGCCUUUAACUAGGGACAGG
This is a long non-coding RNA of Apodemus sylvaticus (European woodmouse), 782 nucleotides long. RefSeq lists it as uncharacterized. The record is from RefSeq and is a predicted model, not a curated record. The transcript is spliced from 9 exons. Lineage: Eukaryota; Metazoa; Chordata; Mammalia; Rodentia; Muridae.